AGAGGUGGCGAGCGUUGUUCGGAUUACUGGGCGUAAAGCGUGCGUAGGUGGUUCGUGUGUCGGAUGUGAAAGCCCACCGCCCAACGGUGGAACUGCAUUCGAAACUGCGGAGCUGGAGUGCAGGAUGGGAGAGCGGAAUUCUUGGUGUAGCGGUGAAAUGCGUUGAUAUCAAGAAGAACACCGGUGGCGAAGGCGGCUCUCUGGAAUGCUACUGACACUGAGGCACGAAAGCUGGGGGGAGCAAACAGGAUUAGAUACCCUGGUAGUCCCAGCCGUAAACGGUGUGCACUUGGUGUAGGGGGUAUUGACCCCCCCUGUGCCGGAGCUAACGCGUUAAGUGCACCGCCUGGGGAGUACGGCCGCAAGGCUA
This 370-nucleotide ribosomal RNA is filed under the name uncultured organism. Its description in RNAcentral is "partial 16S ribosomal RNA". It matches the Rfam family "Bacterial small subunit ribosomal RNA", at positions 527 to 896 of the family's 1533-position model. The record is from RNAcentral.